CGAUCUCCCCGUCAAGUGUUUUGUAAGAUGAACUUGGAGAAAGAAUUAGUGAUACACCUUGAUAAGACUGUAAAAAUUACCAAAAUUGUUCGUGCUUGUGAUCAGUCAGUGAUUCAUUUACUUGGACGGAUUAAGAAGAAAGCCAUUGAGAAAGUUCCAAGGAUGAACAUUUUUCCACGAAUUUCUUCCUUUCCCGGCAAACGUAUUUUAGCAGGGCAGUGGCAUAAACAACCCCACACUGCUGGUACAUUUUCCGACGAAGAUCUUGGAGUGGAAAAAUUCCUGUUUUCUACAGCAAAUCCUCUAAGAAAGUCACAACAGUGAGAUUCAGCAUUAGGAGAGUUCAAGAGGAAAUUCUCAAUACAGGAAAUGCAGAUUACUGGUUGGAAAAACCAGAGAAGGAUUUAUUCCCGGAAUGUGAAAAAUUCGAAAAGGUGUAAGAAAAGGAGGAUUUCUACUCAUAAUAAUACAACAAGGGAAUCCUUCAUUUGAUGAGAUUCUUCAUGCCCUUCACGAUGUUCCGGCCUAUCAUUUAUGUGACACAGAACAUCUAGCUACAAAACAUACAGCUCACUCAUUGGAAGAGAGUUAGAAGUUUAACUGUGAUAUUUGAGGUAUCACCCCAAAGUUGAUCUAAAUCUGCACUCUGGCAAUUCUCAUCGAUGUAGCGGUACAUCCUUCACUGUAGCUCCUGCGGGGAAAUGCAGGAGAUAUAUCGCCAAUGAUCACAGUACUGAGACUCCUAUUUUGCAACCUAAGAAUCAAAAUAUAUCAUAAUUAGUUGUGGAGAAAUCAAUAGCAGUACUACGUAGGAUAUACCUAGCAGCCAGCGAUGCACAUAAACCGCGUCAUCUCAUUCAGGACUUCACAAUUACUGCCCUCAUUCCGUACAUUGAGCAAUUCGUUUUGAGUGAGCCUAUUGCAACGAAGAAAACACAACAGCAAUCUUCCGGAAAAAAUAUGUUGAUCAUACAGAUGCGACAGAGCUAAAAGAACAAUAAAAAGGAAAUCAGAUAAUAGAAGUGCUUUUUUCUUUAAAAUUGAUUGAAACUUACAUAAAAGUCAGUUUUUUAAAGUCAGUAGACAAAUAAAAUUCCAAUUUUCACCCUAAAUUAGAAAUUAUUUGUUAUGAGUGUUCACAGCAUUUCCUGAAUUGGGAAUAGUCAGACAGAUUUUCCACUUCUCAAGAGAGAACAGCUUCUUCCCGACAUUCAAUUAAUCCUGGACAUUGAGCUUCUCAGGAUUCGCUUAUUAGUACUGUAGCACUACAAGUUUAU
Lutzomyia longipalpis is the source of this 1277-nucleotide long non-coding RNA. RefSeq lists it as uncharacterized. The record is from RefSeq and is a predicted model, not a curated record. The transcript is spliced from 3 exons. NCBI's taxonomy places the organism in Eukaryota, Metazoa, Arthropoda, Insecta, Diptera, Psychodidae.